Molecule: long non-coding RNA, 303 nt
Filed under: Dromaius novaehollandiae (emu)
Lineage: Eukaryota; Metazoa; Chordata; Aves; Casuariiformes; Dromaiidae
Description: lncRNA (ENSDNVG00000011713.1)
Source: RNAcentral
AUACACAAAACUUGAGCCUGCUGAUGCCAGACAUGCUAUAGAGCAUCACUGGAAUUGCUCUUGUAAAAUGGAAACAGCGAAGCAACCGGAGAGCUUUACUAUCAGUUAUCUGAGGAGACACCACAACUUCAGUAGAGGAAUUUUGGAGGAGGAAGUUUCUGUGCAGAGAAUCUGAUGAAGGGUCUGUUCCCGAAGACCACAAACCGAACCCACCAAACUAUACAUCGCUUUCAUGCCCAGAGUUCCUCUGAAGAUGCCCAGGGUUGCACAACCAUGAUAAGAGAAAGGGAAGAGACAGCCUGA